ACUUUCCGAAGUGAGGAGCCAACUAAUGAGAUGCUGCAGAAGAUCUUAGCCUAUAGAUGGGAAGCCGUUAAAAAGGAAGAAGCAAGGAACACAUUUGAUCAGAUUUGGGAGCCUAGCGAUAAGGAUAACGCAAGCGUAGACAUCACUUCAAGUAGCGUACCAGCUAAACCAAACUUUAAUCAGGAUAUUCCUCCAGCCCUGUGGAUGAAAGGAGCAGAGAAGGAAAUAUCAAGGUAA
Long non-coding RNA from Eurytemora carolleeae, 237 nucleotides. RefSeq lists it as uncharacterized. NCBI's taxonomy places the organism in Eukaryota, Metazoa, Arthropoda, Copepoda, Calanoida, Temoridae. The transcript has 3 exons. The record is from RefSeq and is a predicted model, not a curated record.